Acinonyx jubatus (cheetah) is the source of this 14913-nucleotide long non-coding RNA. RefSeq lists it as uncharacterized. Lineage: Eukaryota; Metazoa; Chordata; Mammalia; Carnivora; Felidae. The record is from RefSeq and is a predicted model, not a curated record. The transcript is spliced from 3 exons.
CAUGAGACUGGAUGAAAACAAGGAGGGAGUGAUCUCUUGGGCCCUCCAAACUUUAAAGGUCUCAGAGAGGGGAAGGGACAAAGGAGCAAAGGAGGUUAAGAGUAGCCAGUUCAAUAACAAAAAUACCAUGUGGUGGUCCGAGAAGCCAAAUGAAGAAAUUUCAUAGAGAGAGUAAUGGACUAUGUCAACUGCUACUGUUAAAUAAGAUAAAGACUGAGAACGGACAAUUGUCUUUAACUAUUAGGAAGUCAUUAGUAACCUUGAGAAGGGUUAUUUUGAUAGAGUGAUGAAUGCAAAAGUUUGACUGGAAUGAGCUGGAGAGAGAAAGGGAGAAGAGAACCUGAAGAUAAAUGAAGUUUGCUCAGGAUAUGGUCUAUGUUGAGCAAAAGAUAAAAGGUAGCAGCAGCCACCGACAGAAACUUCUGGCAAUCACCAUUGAACAAGAUCAGCCCAAAGAAAACACAAUUCCACUAAAUAUUCUUUGAAGCCCGAUGUACCACUAAUCCCACAGAUAAGUAAUAAGUGAGAGCUGGGUUACAGCAGCGCCUUAUUGUCACAUUCCCUAGGUCAAAGAUUCUUUAACUGUAAAGAUUUCUGAGCCGUUGUUAACUAUGUAACUUGAAUAGCUCUAAUAGGAUGAGAAUUUAAAAGACACAGAUGGUCAAUGGGGCGCCUGGGUGGCGCAGUCGGUUAAGCGUCCGACUUCAGCUCAGGUCACGAUCUUGCGGUCCGUGAGUUCGAGCCCCGCGUCAGGCUCUGGGCUGAUGGCUCAGAGCCUGGAGCCUGCUUCCGAUUCUGUGUCUCCUUCUCUCUCUGCUCCUCCCCCCUUCAUGCUCUGUCUCUCUCUGUCUCAAAAAUAAAUAAACGUUAAAAAAAAAUUUUUUUUUAAAGACAUAGAUGGUCAAAACAGCUAACAGGUACUCACACAGUUCACUCUCCCUUUUUCCACUUUCCCUUCACAUCACCUGUUCAAUCUUACAUUUAAGAGUAAAUAUAUUAAGAAGCAAGAGAAUUACAUCAGCUUUUAAAACAUGAUUGCUACUUACACUCCCCUCCUCAGUUAAUAAUAUGUAGGCCACAAUACACAGAGUUCAAAGAACUCUCCAAGGAUGGCCAAAUAAUUAUUUCUAACAUAUUUUUUUAAGUAAGUUCUAUGCCCAACAUGGGGCUUGACCUCAAGACCCCAAGAUUGAGAGUCUCAUGCUCUACCAACUGAGCCAACCAGGUGCCCCAACUGUUUUUAGUAUUUUUAAGAAAAGUCUUGGUCAACUCUAAAGGACCUUCUCAAAUCUAAGUAAGAUUUUUUAACCUCUGUCCCAUGAACAUGAGCUAAAUGGACAAUAAAAAGGACUCCUGUCUCUAAUAAUUACUUAUAACAGUAAUUUUCAGUGGACAAAUUAGAUGGUGCUGACUAUACUGGUUAUUCUCCCAUUUGCUUUCUCUCUUUUCUAGCCAUGAAAUCCAUGUUCCUUGAAAUCAAUCCUUCCUUUGGCUUGAAAUCUAUAGACUGCAUUACCUGGGUUUACUGUUCUACUUUAAUAAAUGGGAAACACCAGUAGGAAAUCAAAAGGUGGGAUAAUGAAAGUGUUCAUUCUCCCCACCUUUUUAUUGCCUUACUGUGGUGAUAGCAGUGUUCUACAUUCUAUGUUCCUCUUUGAUGAUGCUAGGUUUUUCUGAACUAUGGCAACAAUACCUGUCUCUCCCUGUCCUUUCAAACUAGGGACAAUAGUUUCCCACUAUUGUUGAUCAAUGGGUAUUUUCACAGCCUUUAUUUAUUGCUCCUCUUGACCCUGCUCAUGGCACUGUAAAUAGUCCUUUCACUAAACUCUCUUUUAAUGAACGAACAAAAUGUGGUAUAUACACAGAAUGUGAUAUAUUCAGCCUUAAAAAGGAAUCAAAUUCUGAAACAUGUUACAACAUGGAGAAACCAUGGCUAAGUGAAAUAACCCAAUCACAAAAAGUCAAAUAUUGUACGAUUCCACUUACAUGAGGUGUCUAGAAUAGUCAAAUUCAUACAGACAGAGAAAGUAGGAUAGUGAUUACUCAGGGCUGGGGGUAGUGGAAUAAAGAGUUUAAUGUGCACAAAGUUUUAGUUUGGGAUGAAGAAAAAUUCUGGAGAUAGAUGGUGGUAGAAAACAAUGUGAAGGUGGUUUUUUUUUAAUGUUUUUAAAUUUAUUUUUGAGAGAGACAGAGCACAAGUGGGAGAGGGGCAGAGAGAGAGGGAGACACAGAAUCCAAAGCAGGCUCCAGGCUCUGAGCUAUCAGCACAGAGCCUGACACAGAGCUUGAACCCACAAACCGUAAGAGCAUGACCUAAGCCGAAGUCAGACGCUUAACCGACUGAACCACCCAGGCGCCCCCAUUACCACAGAACUAUACACCUAAAAAUGGCUAAAAUGGUAAAUUUUAUGUUAUGUAUAUUUCAUCAUAUAUACAACACUCUCUUUAGUUAAGUCUUUUGUUUAUGUUACCUGUUUUCUUGUCAAGACCCGUACUGAUACCUUGAUUUACCAUAAAUUCCUAAUUCUAAAGAUUAGAAAGACUGCCACUGUCAAUUUGUGUAGCAAUUUAUAGUUUAUUAAUUAUCUCCACAUAAAAUAUCCCAUUUGAUAUUCAGGCAAGAAAUCAAAUUGGAAGGAGAUAGUAGGUUAAAAAAUACUAUCAAAAUUUAAGUUCACUAACUACACAAUCAAAAGAAAUAUGUUUACUUACUUAAUGUUUACUUAAUAUCAUGCACACAAAACACACUGUCCACAAAAUAACUUUUUAAAAAAUAAGAAAAAAAUACCUACCAAACUUUUAUCCACAUUGGGGCUACUUCGGUUAUCAUUAGGAUUUGCUGAAGAUAAGUAUCUGAGAGAAAAAGAAUUUUUAGAACUAAAAGAACCAAAAACCUCUUCAAUAUUCAAUAACCGGUAACAUAUACUACAUACUUAUUUUUUGGUUUAGUAUUGUGCUUGUUCUGCUUUUGAAAAAUUGAGUACAAGUUCAUGACUCCUUAUUUUAUAUAAAGAUUUUAUGUAAAGAUACAUAUGUAUAAAAGUGAUACAUACAUUAAAUAAAACCCCCAGUUAGGUCAGAGCAGCACUCUGUAAUUAUAUACCUUACUAUCCCUGCAGCCACACAUACGACUAUUCAUACCAAGUAGGAUAAAUAAAAACUAUAAAUUGUCUCGAGUUAGUUCAGAUUAGGUUUUCGGCCAUCAGAGCAGGCUAUGGCAGCUUUUGCCACCAAACAAAUCACUAAAGUAUUUAAAGUUUUUAGAGCUUUUUGCAAUAGGGAUUGGGGAUAAGGAAUUGUUGAUUUCUACAGAAAUGUGCACAGCUUUUCUCUCUGACCCAAAUUACUCUUCAGCCAAGAAUGAUAUUGCCUUUCUGGGCAAAAAAAAGAGCUUUUGCCUAAAUAGUUAACAUAACCUAAGUUCUGGUGAUGUCUUGCUAACCUUUUGAGACUCCAAGGCUUUAUAUUCACUAUAAAGGUAAGUAACAUAUAAGAUAGUAGUGAUCUUCAGAAGUCUUUAAAUAUCUUAUGAGAUUUUUAAACACAUCUAAAUAGAUCAUAUGAAAAAGAUUUUCUAAGCUCUCAAAUGUUAUAUAAAGGUAAGGUACUAGUGCUGCCUUUUCUACUGCUUCUGCUACUUCCUCUACCAUGCUACAACUACCACUAUUAAUACUUCUACCAUCACCACCACUAUAGUUGCCACCGUGGUCAAUCAGUAGAACACUCUCAAAAAGAUAUCAAAUAGCUCCAUAUACUUCCUAGCUGUUUUAGGGCAACUGAUAAUGCACUACAUAUUCACUACUAGUAAAAAACAGAAGAUAAGUUCCUUUAAGAGUGUUCUAAAAAAAAAAAAAAAAAAGGAAAAUAUGCCAUUUUUAUGUUUUCCUUGGAAAAUUAUUCAGAUCAACUAGAUAAUAAAAUAAUCAGAAGACAGUUUUUAGGCACUGUGUAGCAGGUUUGUAGAAAAGAGGUCUCAUGUAACAAAUGACAAGUUCUAGAUGUAGUACAAUUUCAUUCCAUUAACUACUGUCUCAGAAAUUCAGUGUGAGAUUCCACACUAUGUGAUGUAAAUAAAAGCAUAUGGCAAUGCCAGUAGAAUCUGAAUUAGAUAGGAAAUCAGACCAUUUUCUAAGAGAUCUUCUAAAUUUUAAUAUGCUAUAUAAGUUGAAGUUAAUAUUUAGCCUCUGCAAAGUUAAUAAUAUAACUUUCUCAAAAUGCAGCACUGGAAAUUAAGGACACCAAAUGUACGCAUCCAUUCAUUCUUUCACUCUUCCCCCCCCCCCCCAAAGAUCUUUUGUAUAUUACAUUGUUGCUUUCAUAUAGAAUCUGGUCAUUUAGAUAGCUCUUUAUGAGAGGUUUUAGAUUAUUACAAAUGUAGCUAGAAGUUUAACCUUUAGACUAUUAACAAUCUUUGUUCAUUUCGCUGUAUUUUAGCAAUAAAGAUCUCUACCCUUGGUAACUGAAAGUAUGUUUGGAUUUCAGGAGUAAGAAUUUCAGAAGUUUUCUAUUUCAUGCCAAUAACUCAAAUUAUACUUACAUUUUAUACUAAGGCUAAUCAGUAUUUUGCUGAUUCUUUAAGAUCAACCACACCUUCGACCAUGUUAUAAACAAUUACUAAACAACACUAUAUUAUGCAAUAAGGUGGUGGUACUGAAGAACAGAGUACAAUUUCUGUUUUUGAGAAACUCAGAAAUUAGUUUGGAAUAUGCAACAUAUGGAUGCCAGGAAAAACUAGAGAACAUAAUCAAGUAUGUGACAAUGUACUACAAAUAGUAUGUAUAAUGUUUAUUUAAUUCAAGAUUACUUUUAUAUCAAUAAACCUAAAAAAAGUGAUUAACUGAUAUAACUACAUAAAAUCCAAAAACACUGGGGGGGGUGUUUAUAUCAACAUUACAACUGUUCAGAAAGCAAGCCAGAGGAUAACUAAUAAAAGGUACAAAAAUAUAGACAGGAAGACAGAAAGAAAGAACUCUUUAGCAAAAACCACUCUGAAAAACUUGUCUGUGUAUUUUUUUUUCCUCUGUGUAUUUCAAUAUAAAAUAGCUACAAUGUCAUAUUCACGAAUAUUGUGGGAAAAGGAUUAAAAUACUGGACUUUUCUUAGAAUCAAAGUCAAGUACUACCUGCCUGGUUGGUGAUACAACAAAAAGUGUUCAGUACUAUCUUACAGUUGUAUUAUUGGAGAAAUCUCAUAAGGCAGGACUAAUCUGCCUUCCUGUUUUCUAAACUUGGCCUGAAUAGGGUCUUAUAAAAAAGUUUUGACUAAAAUGACAAAAUGCUACACUUGAAAAUAUAUCCAUUUCCUCACUAGUGUACGAGCAUCUUAAGAGAAGGUACUAAUAACUAUAUCUUAUUCAUCUUUCUCCCUGCAUGCUUAUUCAUCUUUCUCUCCCUGACAAAAAAUAAGUUGGCAAAUAUGUUUGUUUGAAUGAAUGAAUGAAUGAAUGCUCAACAUACUGAAAUUAUGUUAAAUGUUUAAUUUGUUUCUCAUAUCGAUUUGAAGACUAAAGCUAACAUUAGCUCAUACUAAUAACAGCUAACACUGAGUGCUUAUUCCAUGCAAAGCAUUGUUCUGUUCUACUGUAUUGAUAUAAUGAACCCUUACAAUAAUCCUAUGAGACAAGUAUCAUCGUCAUCAUCAUCACCAUCCCUAUUUUUGAGAAAAUGGAAGCACAAAAGGUUGAAGUUAUUUGCCCAAGGUCACAAGGUCUAAAUGCUGUAAGAUAUGGUGAAUUCAUUUAGUGGUUUCUGGGGAGGGAUCACUUAAUUUUUGAAUUACUAAAGCUUACAGGCCUUUGUAACAUCAAUAUAGUGAUGAUAAUGCUAGAAAACUAUAUGUUCUUCCAAAGUGUAUCAUAAAACCAGAAUUCUUUGGAUAACAAGAUUAACUAAAAUAUAAGUAUUAAUAGAAUCUUUUAUUAAUUACUGUAACUUUUUUUUUUUUAACGUUUAUUUAUUUUUGAGACAGAGAGAGACAGAGCAUGAACGGGGGAGGGUCAGAGAGAGGGAGACACAGAAUCUGAAACAGGCUCCAGGCUCUGAGCUGUCAGCACAGAGCCCGACGCGGGGCUCGAACUCACGGACCGCGAGAUCAUGACCUGAGCCGAAGUCGGCCGCUUAACCGACUGAGCCACCCAGGCGCCCCAACUGCUGUAACUUUAACACAUAUAUAGUGCAUCAUUCAGUAAAUGAUUUCUGAAACACAAUAUCCUGAUCAUGGAUGAGUCUAAAAGAAAUGAAAUAUGGAAUAAUACAAGUAUCAUACAUCACUGAAAAAUGGCAUAUUAAGAUAUCUCUUCAUAUACCAUUAAAUGUUCUUAAAGUGACUUUGAGAUAUCCCUAAGAAAAUAAUAGACUACAAAAUUAGUACUUACCCCUAAAAUCAAUGUUUAGCAUACUUACCUACGAUUGCUAUAAUACGUAAAUCCUACAAAAGGUAACUGAUUGCCAACAAAAGCUUUAGGUAUAGGGAAUGUUUCUUCAUCUCCUUUAUCUUCUUCCAAGUCAUCAAAAUUACUUGUAUCAAUGUCACUACUUAAAUCAGGUACAACUGGCGCUACAGCUAAAAAUGGAAACAAAAUUAGUAGUUUACUUCAAAUUUAAUACAAAAAUAAAGUGAAGCAAAGAUUCCAUACCAACUACUAAGUUUCUUACAUACAAAUAAGUUGCAAACCAAAUUCCAAAUGGGUUGAAUCCUAUUUCACCCAAUUUUAUUAGGGCUAUUAAUCAACUGAUAUUGACCAUUACAAUUCUAUGAAACAAUCAUCUCCUAUAAUCAUCAUCUAUACUUCAAGUUUAAUUUGAAUAUUGCAAGUAUAAAGGUUUUAGAAUACACCAUAAUAUAAAUAUGCAAAAACAGUCAGGACUCUACAAAAGACUUUGCAGAAACCACAGCAUAAUAAAUUGUACUCAAAACUGAUUGAUUUCAAAUGAAACAAACUAGAAAUCAAGGUUACCUACCUCUUAGUAGUCCUGGAUAUAACAUUUGGUACUGAAAUAUAUUUAUUAAUCUAGAAUUUAGAUGGUUAGUAUCCACCCCUCCCCCCAACUCAAUAUCUCUAUAAGACUAAGUCACAAGGAGCAAUGUAUUUUGAAUUUUAUUUUCAGUCUAGCUACCUUCCCUGAAUCAAGUCAUUAAAUGAUGACUCCAUGAGGUAUUUAUGAAAUGGCUGUUAGGAAAAGAGGGUAGAGAUACAAAACAUGCACACAGAAUCUUCAAGAGUUAUAAAUGUGAUGGAGAGCAAGACUCAUAAAAAAUUUUUUUAAGUUUAUUUAUUUUGAGAGACAGAGAGAGAGCGUGUGCUCGUGCACUCACAAGUGGGGGAGGGGCAAAGAGAGAGAAUCCCAAGCAAUCUGCAUACCAGCAGCACAGACACCAACAUGGGGCUCAAACCCAGGAUCUGUGAGAUCAUGACCUGAACUGAAACGAAGAGUCAGACACUCAGCCAACAAAGCCACCCAGGCCCCUCAUCUAAUAAGCAUAUAUGGCAAUGCUUAAAUCGUCAUAAUAUGGGAGAAAAUAACAUGAAACUAAUAUUACCACUAUUUUAUUUUGGAACUUGAAUAGGCUACAGAGAAUACACCUAAAAAUACAUUUUAGAGAAAAAGCUUUUUAAAGAUACAGUAGUAUUAAUAAAACAUUAUGGAAAUAUCAACUAAACAUUGAAUAAUUAUUUUAGAUAUAAUCAUCUCAUGUUUCUUUAAAAAAGAUGAAGAUGAGCAACAAAAAAUAAUUGACCUGGUUUCACAGUCUUAAUCUUUUAUAUAAAGGAAUCAUUUUUCUAAUGAAUUAUCUGGGUAUUCCAGGCAAGAAAUAACUAUUGAUGCGCAUCACAGAUACAGUGAAAUAUCUGAUGAAUCUGAGAAUGAAACAUAUUUAACCCAAAGAAGCUAUAAUAUUAACUAAAAAUGAAUGAGAAAAGACCUUUUCCACCAUUCUCUCUUCUUAAUGACCAGGAGAACUACAGUCCUGACUAGACAAUUCUAGCUUCCUAAUACUACUAACUGCCUAAUUUGUAAAAUGAAGUGGGAGGAAAGUUGCUUCUUCUUAUAAAGUAUGUAAGCCAAUUAUGGUCUUGGCAUAAAUUGUACUUUUAAACAGUGGUUCUCAUUUUUAAAACAACUUUGCCCCCCUGUGGGAAAUUUGGCAAUAACUGAGCUCUUAUAACUGAGGGAGGUAUGCUCCUGGCAUCUAGUGGGUAGAGACCAGGGAACCACUAAACAUCCAAGAAAGUUCAGGGUAAGCCACACACAAAAAAACUUAUCUGGUCUAGUGUUGAGGCUAAAAACCCUACUUGAAAAUUAUCAUAUAAGAAUGAUUUUAAAAGGAAGCAGAGCAUGCUUGGUGAUUUUUUUCUUGCUGUUUUAGAUGUAUCUAGUCUUUUCAUAGAUAACACAGUAGGGGCACCUCGGUGACUCAGUUAAGCGCCUUACUCUUGAUUUCAGUUCAGGUUGUGAUCUCAUGCCCAUGAGACUGAGCCCUGUAUCAGGCUCCGCACUGAGCGUGGAGCCUGCUUAAGAUUCUCUCUCUUGUUCCCUCUGUCCUUAUCCCCUGCUCACAUGUGCUCUCUCUCAAACAUUAAUAAAUAAAUAAGGAAAUACAGAUAACAUGCCAUUUCAGAACAGUUUUAAAAUGGGACAAAUUCUGUUUAAAUUUUGAGGUACAAGUAGGGGAAAUCCUGGGAGAAUUAUAAAAGUAAUAUUUCUUCUACUUUCAAAGUAAAACAUUUAGGCUUUAUAGAUACCAUAUAAUCACAUCAGAACUAAUAAAUAAGAGUAAGUAUAAAGAUAGCUUUACAGAAUUACCAUUGAUAUAUACAGUAGUCUAUUUAUAAAAAUUUACCUUUCAAUAAAUAACUGGGAAUAUAGGAACCAUGUUCUGUAAGAAAGAAUCCAGGUGACGCCAUAAAAACAUGGCAGAGUAAGGAACUCUAAGAAGCUACCUUUCCACUGAAAUAACUAUUAUGCAGGCAAAAACUAUCAUAAGCAACUUUUUCAUAACUCUGAAAUCUAAGAAAAGACUUGCAACAAGCAGGGGAAUGUUUAACGAAGAGAGAAGCUAGUAAAUGUUGGCAUUCCGGGAACUGUAACUGGCUGACCAAUGAGAUAAUAAUGGGAAAGGAACUUCAGGGGUCACACAUGACAAAGAAUACAGACUUUGUAAAAACAGUCUGGAAAAGUCACUAAACAAAUGGAUGACUGAAGCCCACAGCAAGCAAUAAUAGCAAACCUGGAAGGGGAGAAAUUGGAUUUCCAGAGUUUAUAACACUGUAAUAUUUAUUAUGUCCAGUUUUUAAUAAAAAGUUACAAAGCAUAUUAAGAAACAGAAAAAGUAAGGCCUAUUCACAGAAAAUGACAGAAAAAUCUCUGAGGAAACCCAGGUAUUAGAUUUAUUAAACAAAGACUUUAAAUAAAUUGCCUUAAAUGUGCUCAAGGAAACCAUGGACAAAAACUAACUGAGGAGUAUGAUAUCUUAACAAACAGAACAUACCAAAAAGGAAAAAGAGGGAACCAAAUAGAAAUUCUGGUACUGAAAAGUACAAUAGCUAAAAGUAAAAAUGUACAAGGGUUCAACAGCAGAUUUGAGUAGGCAGAGGAACCAGUGAACUUAAAGAUAGGACCACUGAAAUUAUCAAGUAGAGGAAAAGAAGCAAACAAUGAAAAAGUCAACUUUUGGGACACCAUAAAUCAUACCAACAUAUACAUUAGGAAAGUCCCAGGGAAGUAAAGAAAGGGGCAGAAAGAAUAUUUAAAGAAAUAAUGGCUCCAAACUAACCAACUGAUGAAAUUUAAGAAUCUAUACAUUUAAGAACUCCAAGUAAGAAAUUCAGAUCCACACCAUGACAUGUUAUAAUAAACGUUGAAAAGACAAAGAGUCUUGAAAACAACAGAAAACUGACUUAUCAUACAUCAGAAAUCCUCAAUAAGAUCAAGAGCCUAUUUCUAAGCAAAAACAUUGAGGGUCAGAAGGCAGUGGAAUGACAUUUUAAAGUGCUGAAAGAAAACAACAGUCAAGCAAGAAUUCUAUAUCCAGCAAAAUUAUCUUCAAAAAUGCAGGGAAAUUAAGAUAUCCCCAGAUAAAAGAAAGAGGAGUUUGUUGCUAGUAAACCUGUCUGGCAAGAAAUGUUAGAGUUUUUAAGGUUUAAAUGAAAGGACACUAGACACUAACUCAAACCUUUACAAAGAAAUAAAAAAACAAAAGUAACUACACUGAUAAAUGUAAGAGCCAGCUUUAUAUAUUUUUGUUAUAUAAUCUACUUUAAAAAAUAAAUAAAUAAAUCCACUUUUCCCCCUAUAUGACUUAAAAUAAAAUGGGUAAAAUAAUUAUAAAUUUAUGUUAAUGAGCACAGAAUAUAUACAGAUACAAUUUGUGACAACAACAUAGAAGAAAAUAGAUCUGUAUAGAAGCAAUUUUUGUAUGCUUCUGACAGUAAACUGUAUCAAUUCAACCUAGACUGUUAUCAGUUUAGGAUGUUAAAUAUAAUCCCCAGGAUGAUGACAAUAAGAAAAUGACAAUAUAUGGAAAAGGAAUUAAGAGAGGGAAUCAAAACAGUACACUAUAAAACAAUCCAUUAAAUACAAAAGAAGGCAAUGAUGUAGGAGAUGAGGAACAGAAAAAAUCAGACAUACAGAAAAUAGAACAAUGGCAGAUGUCUUUACAUACAGUAUUCACUUUAAAUGUAAACGAAUUAGUCACUAAUAAAACGUAGAGAUCUGAAAAAUGGAUUAAUAAAAUUGAUCCAAUUAUAUGCAGUGUACAGACACUCACUUUAGAUCCACAGACAUAAAAAUGUUAAAAGAAUGAAAGAUAUUCCAUGGAAAAAAGAGCUGACGUGGCUAUACUAACAUCAGACAAAAUCAGUAAAAUGGUUAGAAGAGACAAAGAAAAACAGGACAUAUUGAUGACAUUGAUAAAAUGGUCAACUCAUCAAGAAGGUGCAACAAUUAUAAACAACACAUUAACAACACAGCUCCAAAAUAUUUGUAGUAAAAAAUGACAUAAAUGGAGAAACAGACAGUUCUAAAAUAACGGGGUCAUCAAUAACCCACUUUCAAUAAAUGAACUAAACAAUUAAACAGGAGAUGAAUAAGAAAAUGCAAGACUUGAGCAACAUCAUAAAUGAAUUAGAUGUAACAGACGUACAAAGCUCACUCCACCACCAAGAGCAGAAUACAAACUGCACAUGACACAUUCUCCAGAACUAUAUGUUAGAUCAAAAAAACAACUUAAGCAAUUUAGAGAGACUGAAAUCAUACAAACCAGCCACUAUGGAAUGAAACAAGAUCAAUAAUAGAAGAAACACCAGAAGGUUCACAAGUAUGUUGAAAAUAAUAUGCUUUCUUUUUUGUUAAGUUUUUAUUUAAAUUCUGGUUAGUUUAUAUACAGUAUAGUAUUAGUUUCAGGAGUAGAAUUUAGUGAUUCAUCACUUACAUAUAACACCCAAUGCUCAUCACAACAAGUGCCCUCCUUAAUACCCAUCACCCAUCUAACCCAUCACCCACCCACAUCCCAUCCAGCAACCCUCAGUUCAUUCUCUAUAGGUAAGAGUCUGUUUCUUGGUCUGUUUCUCUUUUUUUCUUCGUUUGUUGUGUUUCUUAAAUUCCACAUAUGAGUGAAAUCAUAUGGUAUGUGUCUUUCUCUGACUUAUCCACUUAGCAUAAUAUAUUCUAGCUCCAUCCACGUCAUUGCAAAUAGCAAAUUUCAUUAAAAAAAAAAAAGUUAUUUAUUUAUUUAAAUAAUCUCUACACCCCACGUGCGGCUCGAACUCAUGACCCUGAGAUCAAAAGUCCACAUGCUCUUCUGACUGAGCCAGCCAAACACCCAAAGAUUUCAUUUAUUUUGGUGGCUGAAUAAUAUUCCACUGUGUGUGUGAUAUCUUCUUUUUCCAUUCAUCAGUUGAUGUACAUGGGGUUCUUUCCACAAUUUGGCUACUGUUGAUAAGGCUGCUGUAAACAUCAGGCUGCAUAUAUUCCUUUGAAGCAGUAUUUUUGCAUCCUUUGGGAAAAUACCUAGUAGUGUAAUGGCUGGGUCAUAGGGUAGUUGUAUCUUUAACCUUCUGAGCAAACUCCAUACUGUGUUCCAGAGUGGCUGCACCAGUUUGCAUUCCUACCAACAGUGUAAGAAGGUUCCCCCUUCUCCACUUCCUUGACAACAUCUUUUGUUUCCAGUGUUGUUAGUUUGAGCCAUUCUGACAGGUGUGAGGUGGUAUCUCAUUGUAGUUUUGAUGUGUAUUUCCUUGAUGAUGAGUGAUGUUGAGCAUCUUUUCAUGUGUCUGUUAGCCAUCUGGAUGUCUUCAUUGGAAAAAUGUCUAUUCACGUCUUCUGCUCAUUUAUUAACUGGAUUACUUGUUUUUUGGGUGUUGAGUUUGAUAAGUUCACUAUAGAUUUUAGAUACUAAUCCUUUGUUGGAUAUGUCAUUCACAAAUAUCUUCUCCCAUUCUAAAGACUGUCUUUUAGUUUUGUUGACUACUUCCUUUGCUGUGCAGAAGCUUUUUAUCUUGAUAAAGUCUCAAUAGUUCAUUUUUGCUUUUGUUUCCCUUGCCUCCAGAGAUGUAUCUAGUAAGAAGUUGCUACAGUUGAUGUCAAAGAGAUUAAAAUAACAUAUUCUUUAAAAAAAAAACAAACAAACAAGGAGUCAAAGAAGAAAUCACAAGGGAGAUUAGAAAAAAUGCAUUGAGACAAAUAAAAAUGAACAACAACCAAAACUUAAAGGAUUUUGCAAAAGCAGUACUCAGAAAAAUUUUAGUUGUAAAUGCCUAUGUAAAAAAAGGAGAAACAUCUCUUGGGGGAUCUGACUUUUUUUUUUCAAUGUUUUAUUUAAUUGAGAGAGAGAGAGAGAGAGAACAAGAGAAAACAAGCAGGGAGAGGGGCACACAGAGAGAGGAAGACACAGAAUCGGAAACAGGCUCCAGGCUCCGAACUGUCAGCACAGAGCCAAUGUCGGGCUCCAGCUUGUAAACUGCAAGAUCAUAACCUGAGCCAAAGUCUGUCGCUUACUGACUGAGCCACCCAGGCACCCCAUAAGCAUCCAACUCUUGAUCCUGGCUCAGGUCAUGAUCUUGUAGUUCAAGUUUGAGUCCCACAUCGGACUCUGUGCUAAUGGUGCAGAGCCCACUUGGGAUUCUGUCUCUCUUCCUCUCUGCCCCUUUCCCUCUUGUGUUCUCUCUUUCAAAAUAAAUAAACAAACUUAAAAAGAGAGAAAGAGAAAGGUCUCAAAUCAAUAGCCCAGCUGUCACCCUAAGGAACUAGGAAAAAAGAGCAAACUAAGCCCAGAGCUUAGUUUGGAAAGAAACAACCGUAAGGAAAGAAACAACAGAGAUUAGAGUAGCAGAUAAACAAAAUUAAGAAUAGAAAAUUAAUAGUGAAAUUAACAAAACCAAUAACUACUUUUUAAAAAAGAAUCAACAAAAUUGACAACAAAUCUUUUCGCAGACUAAGGGGAAAAAACACAAGACACAAAUCAGAAAUGAAAGUAGUCAAACUUCAAGCUGUAGUCCUAAGCUAUAAACAUCAAGACAGUACAGUACUGGCACAAAAACAGACACUCAGAUCAAUGGAACAAAAUAGAGAAUCCAGAAAUGGACCCACAAAUGUAUGGCCAACUAAUCUUUGACAAAGCAGGAAAGAAUGUUCAAUGGAAUAAAGACAGUCUCUUCAGGAAGUGGUGCUGGGAAAACUGGACAGCAACAUGCAGAAAAAUGAACCUGGACUACUUCCUCACACCAUACACAAAAAUAAACUCAAGAUGGAUGAAAGACCUAAAUGUAAGACAGGAAGCCAUCAAAAUCCACGAAGCCAAAACCUCUUUAACCUUGGCCACAGCAACUUCUUACUCAACAAGUCUCUGGAGUCAAGGGAAACAAGCAAAAAUCAACUAUUGGGACCUCAAAAAAUAAAGCGCUUCUGCACAGUGAAGGAAACAAUCAGCAAAACUAUAAGGCAACCAACGGAAUGGGAGAAGAUAUUUGCAAACGACAUAUCAGAUAAAGAGUGAGUAUCCAAAAUCUAUAAAGAGCUUAUCAAACUCAACACCCACCCCCCCAAAAAAUAUCCAGUGAAGAAAUGGGCAAAAGACAUGAAUAGACACUUCUCCAAAGACUACAUCCACAUGGCCAACCAACACAUGAAAAAAUGCUCCACGUCACUCAUCAUCAGGGAACUACAAAUCAAAACCACAAUGAGAUACCACCUCACACCUGUCAGAAUGGCUAACAUUAAUAACUCAGGCAACAAUAGAUGUUGGUGAGGAUGCGGAGAAAGAGGAUCUCUUUUUGCACUGCUGGUGGGAAUGCAAACUGGUGCAGCCACUCUGGAAAACAGUAUGGAGGUUCCUCAAAAAGUUAAAAAUAGAACUACCCUAUGAUCCAACAACUGCACUACCAGGUAUUUAUCCAAGAGAUAUGGGCAUGCUGUUUCAAAGGGGCACAUGCAUCCCAAUGUUUAUAGCAGUGCUAUCAACAAUAGCCAAAGAAUGGAAAGAACCCAAAUAUCCAUCGAUGGAUGAAUGGAUAAAGAAGAGGUGGUAUAUAUAUACAAUGGAGUAUUACUCGGCAAUCAAAAGAAUGAAAUCUUCCAUUUGCAACUACGUGGAUGGAGCUAGAGGGUAUUAUGCUAAGCGAAAUUAGAGAAAGACAAAUAUCAUAUGACUUCACUCAUAUGAGGACCUUAAGAGACAAAACAGACGAACAUAAGGGAAGGGAAACAAAAAUAAUAUAAAAACAGGGAGGAGGACAAAAACAUAAGAGACUCUUAAAUAUGGAGAACAGACAGAGGGUUACUGGAGGCAGUAUGGGAAGAGGGAUGGGCUAAAUGGGUAAGGGGCAUUUUAAAGAAUCUACUCCUGAAAUAUUGUUGCACUAUGUGCUAACUUGGAUGUAAAUUAAAAAAUAAAUAAAAACAAAAAACAAACAAAAAA